GAUGAACGCUGGCGGCGUGCCUAAUACAUGCAAGUCGAGCGAACAGAUGAGGAGCUUGCUCCUCUGACGUUAGCGGCGAACGGGUGAGUAACACGUGGAUAACCUACCUAUAAGACUGGGAUAACUUCGGGAAACCGGAGCUAAUACCGGAUAAUAUAUUGAACCGCAUGGUUCAAUAGUGAAAGACGGUUUUGCUGUCACUUAUAGAUGGAUCCGCGCCGCAUUAGCUAGUUGGUAAGGUAACGGCUUACCAAGGCAACGAUGCGUAGCCGACCUGAGAGGGUGAUCGGCCACACUGGAACUGAGACACGGUCCAGACUCCUACGGGAGGCAGCAGUAGGGAAUCUUCCGCAAUGGGCGAAAGCCUGACGGAGCAACGCCGCGUGAGUGAUGAAGGUCUUCGGAUCGUAAAACUCUGUUAUUAGGGAAGAACAAAUGUGUAAGUAACUAUGCACGUCUUGACGGUACCUAAUCAGAAAGCCACGGCUAACUACGU
Molecule: ribosomal RNA, 496 nt
Filed under: uncultured bacterium
Lineage: Bacteria
Description: partial 16S ribosomal RNA
Rfam family: Bacterial small subunit ribosomal RNA
Source: RNAcentral